This 393-nucleotide ribosomal RNA is filed under the name uncultured bacterium. RNAcentral's name for it is "bacterial SSU rRNA". It matches the Rfam family "Bacterial small subunit ribosomal RNA", at positions 32 to 448 of the family's 1533-position model. The record is from RNAcentral.
AAUCAACGCUGGCGGCGUGCCUAAUACAUGCAAGUCGAACGGGCACCUUCGGGUGUCAGUGGCAGACGGGUGAGUAACGCGUGGGAACGUACCCUUCGGUUCGGAAUAACCCAGGGAAACUUGGGCUAAUACCGGAUACGUCCGUAAGGAGAAAGAUUUAUUGCCGAAGGAUCGGCCCGCGUCGGAUUAGCUAGUUGGUGGGGUAAUGGCCCACCAAGGCGACGAUCCGUAGCUGGUCUGAGAGGAUGAUCAGCCACACUGGGACUGAGACACGGCCCAGACUCCUACGGGAGGCAGCAGUGGGGAAUAUUGGACAAUGGGCGAAAGCCUGAUCCAGCCAUGCCGCGUGAGUGAAGAAGGCCUUAGGGUUGUAAAGCUCUUUCAGCGGGAAGA